AUGACCCUUUCUCUGCCAUCAGCAGAGAAGAACAUCCAUAGACAUGGAGCUGCUGCAGCAGCUAGACCACUUCCUACAGGAGGAGUUGAAGGUGGAGCAUGCCUCGAACCUGCGACGCACCCGGUGAUCUAUGGUAUGAUGGCUGACUUUGCAGUUCCUGUUACUUCAAAAACCGAGCGACGCCUUCAUGUUCACCCACGAAGACAUAUCUCCCUUCGCCUCCCGCCGACCCCCGAGGGGCACCUUCAACACCUCCUCACCUUGACGACACACACUGUGGCUGAAUCUCAAUAGUCUAGAUAAUAGCUUCCUCUGUCACUUUAGUGAGGACAAUACUGUUCUGGUUACACUAGUAUGUACAGAGGCCCUUGAUCAUCAAAUAUGAACGCUUUUAUGGAGGUUUUGUCUUUUAUUUUGUGACACUGUUUUUACGCUCUUUUUGUUUGUAUUGGCUGCACUAAACAAAUUUCAAUCAACUCUGUUGAUAUUGGGAUUGCAACAGUUGUCAGUUGGUGUGACUAAAAUACAAUUUCAUGUCUUGUAUAUUUUCCAUGCUUUUUCUUUUAAGAACUUUAUCCUCGAGUGUUAUAAUUUCAGUAACAGCUACUUUGCUUUGGCUCUUAUCACCCCAUAAAUUUGUAUGAAUAAAAUUAUAAAUUAAAGUAAUGCUAUGUCUCUGAUCUGGUUUCUGAGUGGGAUACUUUGCUGAGCCUACUUUCAACGGGCCUUUUGUAUUUAUUACGACUCCCCAUUAGCUGCUGCAGAGGC
RNAcentral lists this long non-coding RNA (768 nucleotides) under Oncorhynchus kisutch (coho salmon). Its description in RNAcentral is "lncRNA (ENSOKIG00005017856.1)". Lineage: Eukaryota; Metazoa; Chordata; Actinopteri; Salmoniformes; Salmonidae. The record is from RNAcentral.